UGUUGCUAACUAUAAGUAAUAAUGAAUGGAACAGGUGUUGGCUAUGGUCCCAUGGUUCCUUUGGAUAUAUAAAGAACCUGCAUUACCCUGUGUAACACACAACAAAAUGGACAACGUAACCAUUAAUGUGUUAGACAGCAAAGGCAAUGUUGUCAUGCUAACGGUUUCCAAGGACAUCGCUGAAAGGAUGCAAAAAAGUCACCAAUGAUUUGUGCAAGUGUUUUAUUUAUCAUUUAUUCCCCCAGAUCAAAUGUUCCUUUCCUCUGUCAUGGAGAAAGUAUCAGCUGUUGAAACAAAAGCUCUCCUCAGUGGCCCAGCUUGUGCUGCAAAGCUUCUCCAACCUCCUAUUCCAUGUCCCACUACCUCCACUAGGUCGCCGACACCCCUAAACCUCAGUUUUGUGAAACCACCAUCCACCAGCCAGUGCCCCAUUACUACCACUAGGCCCCCUGUACUACUUACCUCCACUGUCAAGGACCCACCACCUUCCACUCUGCAACCUGGUGCAGUGUGUGGAAACCCUUCAGCAUCCAUUCAACCUUCAUUCCCUUCCUUCCAGUCAGACAGGCAUGAAUCUCAAGAAAUAACACAUACAAUGACACUAUUUCUACUGGACCUUACAAAAACUCAUCAGCACCUUUAUUUUCGGAACAAAAUGGCAUUCUAUAAAAAAUACAAAACUUAUUCUCACUAAAGGGCUACAACUUGUCAAGUGAGAAAAUUCGAAAAAAAACUAGCAAACAUGUUAACUACUUAUAAGAGAGUGAAAGACAGGCGCCGUGCAACUGGGGAAGGGAAGAUCACCUGGGAGUACUAUACAGUAAGUUGAAGACUGCUUUACUUUGUUUCUGAAAUAACAUUGUCAUGUGUUACAAGACUGAAACAUUGGUCAUUUUCAUUUUACAUCCACCCCCACCAGCUAAUGGAUGAGUUAUUUGGGUCAUCGGGGAUCGGUACUGCACCACCUGGCACCAUUCACUCCACACCUCUGGGUUUGGAAGAGACCUCUUCCACAAGCAGGCCCACAACGUCUUCUCUUCAAGAACAGCCGGUAGGUGCUAGUAUGGAUGAACAGCCAGGAACUGCUACCAUACAAAAUGCAAACAUCACAAGAAGGCAAAGACGACCACAACCCUUACAAUUCCUGGACGCUUAUGAAGAGCAUGCAGAGAGAAGGACUGCUGUGCUUGAGUCCCUGGUAAGGCCAGAUCUGGAGUGAUGGCGGCGACUUAAGGAGAGGCGGAGAAGGUCCUUCGAAAAAAAGAUGGUGACCAGCUUGGGGAACAAUUGUGGAGGAG
Molecule: long non-coding RNA, 1298 nt
Organism: Cyprinus carpio (common carp)
Lineage: Eukaryota; Metazoa; Chordata; Actinopteri; Cypriniformes; Cyprinidae
Exons: 3
Source: RefSeq, a predicted model, not a curated record